RNAcentral lists this long non-coding RNA (1110 nucleotides) under Homo sapiens (human). RNAcentral describes it as "HSALNT0115575". Lineage: Eukaryota; Metazoa; Chordata; Mammalia; Primates; Hominidae. The record is from RNAcentral.
UCUCAGGUGAUCCAUCCCCCAUGGCCUCCCAAAGUGCUGGGAUUACAGGCAUGAGCCAACAUGCCCUACCCCAUCUGGUGCUUCUUACGAGAGCAAGCAGACUAGACUGGGAAGGAUCAGAGGAAGGGAUGGACAGACAAGUAGACAGCAAUCACACGACCAAAACCACACUUGACAACCAGGAAGCAAAACAAGGAAGCAAGACAGAGCCAGCCAGAUCCAACAAUGGGAUUCUUCCUGGAAGUGCUGGGAUUUAUCUUUUCCUCUGUGACAGUGUCCCUCCUCCUGGAGUCCGCAUGGAGAACGCACCUCUUCUUCACUAGGUAUUUCUCACGCCUGGACUGUCCUCCUGCCUGGACCCCCACAUCAUUCUACAUCAGUGGAGCUUAACGUUGGCUGCACACCUGAAUCCUCUACAGAGUUUUUUAAAACUGAUGACUCCUGGAUCCCAACUCCAGAGGUUCUGAUUUAAUUGGCCAGGGGUGUGCCCUGGACACUGGCAUUUUUCAAAACUCCACAGAUGAUUCUAAUAUGCAGCCAAAGAGUCACUCCUCUAGACCCAUAACUGCUGCACUGCAAAGAAAUUUAUAGGACCAGUGCUUCUCAACACUGACUACACACUAGAAUCACCAGGGAAGCUUUAAAAAUUACAAGCCCUGGGCUCCACCCCAGACCAAAUAAAUUGGAAUCGCCAGAGGUACCAACCAUGUGUCAGUAGCUUUCAAAGCCUCCCAGGUGAUUGUAACAUGCAGCCAGGAUUGAAAACCACUGCUACAGACCAAAGGUGUGGCCAGAAGCAAUCACAGAUGGAAGAAUUACCGAGUGUCGCCCUGUGGGUGAAAGCAAAGGAAUAAGGAAAAUAUUCUCCACUUACACGGCUGCUACAAUGAGAGUGUUUUGUUUUGUCUUUUUUUUUCAGGCUCUGAUUCAGCUUCAUCUAUUUGCCUACCUUUUCCAGCUGUUAGUUGGUCACCUGCCUGCCAAUAUUUGUGCAUAGGCUCUAGGAGUUUACAGUCAGUAAAGUAUCCCACCUGCAGACUUAAACAGGGCUAUUAUCUGGCACAAAGUUGGAGUGAUUGCUUCUGUAUUGCAAAAUGAUUUUAUCUGCUG